Molecule: ribosomal RNA, 255 nt
Filed under: uncultured bacterium
Lineage: Bacteria
Description: partial 16S ribosomal RNA
Rfam family: Bacterial small subunit ribosomal RNA
Source: RNAcentral
UACGUAGGGGGCAAGCGUUGUCCGGAAUCAUUGGGCGUAACAGCGCGUGUAGGCGGCUUGGUAAGUCUGCUCUGAAAGCCCGGGGCUCAACCCCCGGGAGGCGGGUGGAUACUGUCAAGCUCGAGUCCGGAAGAGGAGUGUGGAAUUCCUGGUGUAGCGGUGAAAUGCGCAGAUAUCAGGAGGAACACCAAUGGCGAAGGCAGCACUCUGGGACGUGACUGACGCUGAGACGCGAAAGCGUGGGGAGCAAACAGG